This is a long non-coding RNA of Acanthopagrus latus (yellowfin seabream), 726 nucleotides long. RefSeq lists it as uncharacterized. The record is from RefSeq and is a predicted model, not a curated record. The transcript has 2 exons. Lineage: Eukaryota; Metazoa; Chordata; Actinopteri; Spariformes; Sparidae.
AAAUAAAUAGCAAUUCAGUUGUAUUAAAAAAGCUGAUCUGAUCAUCUGGAGCCAGGGGUGUCUACUAUAAACUAGUCCCCCUGUGAGGAGAGACCGUGUCCUACCUCUGCAGGCUCCGGUCAGGAUGGGUAGGAGGCGCUUUAAGAAGCCAGCAUCUUGAAUGUUGGUCCCUGCGAUCCAUCUUCCUGGGUUUGUUGCCGAGGUAGAGCGACAUGCGAACACUGUCUGGCUGUUGUUGAUUCGAUUCAGUCACUGAUGGCCGACAAAUGCAUCCUGACACAGAAGGAUCAUACCCCCACCCUAAAAUGGAUUUUUUUUUUUUUUUUUCGCUGAAAACCUCUUUUUUGUUUCAUCACAGUCAGUUUUCCUCCCGUGUCUUCUGCUGACAUUUGCUUUGGGGUCUUCAGGACACAACCUCUGCACAGUGAUGUGCAGCUGAAGAACUGGAACACAGAAAUUCUCUCAUUUGAAAAAGGACAAAUGCUGAACAAUAAAAUGACUUUCUUAUGGAAAAAAAAAGUUCUCCUAGCUUGUUAAAUGUGUACUAAGUAGUUUUGGGGAAGAAAACAGCUUGUUUAUUCAGUUUGUAUUAUCACCUCAUUAAUAUUGUAAAUAUUAAAAUUCUGCUCCACAGCUACAUCGUUUUAAGUAAAUGCACAUUAGUAAGUUAUCUGCCAAAUGUGACUGCAAAAGCUGAAGUAAAAGUAGGCUACUGGUUUCACAAAA